Small nuclear RNA from Marmota marmota marmota (Alpine marmot), 107 nucleotides. The record is from Ensembl. Lineage: Eukaryota; Metazoa; Chordata; Mammalia; Rodentia; Sciuridae.
GUACUCAUUUCAGCAGCACAUAUGCUAAAAUUUGAACCAUACAAAGAAGAUUAGCAUGGCCCCUGCACAAGGAUGACAUGAAAAUUUUUGAAGCUUUCCAUGUUUUU